Molecule: ribosomal RNA, 887 nt
Filed under: uncultured bacterium
Lineage: Bacteria
Description: bacterial SSU rRNA
Rfam family: Bacterial small subunit ribosomal RNA
Source: RNAcentral
AGAGUUUGAUCCUGGCUCAGGAUGAACGCUAGCGGUGUGCUUUAUGCAUGCAAGUCGUACGAUUUUAGCUUGCUAAAAUAGUGGCGGACGGGUGAGUAACACGUAAGUAAUCCACCCUCAAGUUGGGGACAACCUUGGGAAACCGGGGCUAAUACCGAAUGUGAUGGUUUGACAUAAGUCAGAUUAUUAAAGCAGUAAUGCGCUUGAGGAGGAGCUUGCGGUCGAUUAGCUAGUUGGUAGGGUAAAAGCUUACCAAGGCUACGAUCGAUAGCUGGUCUGAGAGGACGAUCAGCCACACUGGGACUGAGACACGGCCCAGACUCCUACGGGAGGCAGCAGCAAGGAAUUUUGGGCAAUGGGCGAAAGCCUGACCCAGCAACACCGCGUGGGGGAUGACGGCCUUCGGGUUGUAAACCCCUUUUACUAGGGAAGAAUAAAAUGACGGUACCUAGUGAAUAAGCCCCGGCUAACUACGUGCCAGCAGCCGCGGUAAGACGUAGGGGGCAAGCGUUAUCCGGAUUUAUUGGGCGUAAAGAGAGCGUAGGCGGCUUUUCAAGUCGGAUGUGAAAUUUCCCAGCUUAACUGGGAGGGGUCAUUCGAUACUGUUAGGCUUGAGUGCAGCAGGGGGAAACGGAAUUCCCGGUGUAGUGGUGGAAUGCGUAGAUAUCGGGAGGAACACCAGAGGCGAAAGCGGUUUCCAAGGCUGUUACUGACGCUGAGGCUCGAAAGCGUGGGGAGCAAACAGGCUUAGAUACCCUGGUAGUCCACGCCAUAAACGAUGGAUACUAGGUAUAGGGAGUAUCGACCCUCUCUGUGCCGAAGCUAACGCUUUAAGUAUCCCGCCUGGGGAGUACGGUCGCAAGAUUAAAACUCAAAGGAAUUGACGG